This is a small nucleolar RNA of Sorex araneus (European shrew), 133 nucleotides long. RefSeq annotates it as small nucleolar RNA SNORA75. NCBI's taxonomy places the organism in Eukaryota, Metazoa, Chordata, Mammalia, Eulipotyphla, Soricidae. The record is from RefSeq and is a predicted model, not a curated record. The transcript has a single exon.
GUCUUCUCAUUGAGCUCCUUGCUGUCCACUGGUGGCAGUUUAUGGAUUCGCACGAGAAGAAGAGACAAUUCACAGAGCUAGCGUGCGUUUGCUUCCAUCUUGGAGGCACAUUUUGCUGUUCUGUGAGACAGGU